GAUGAACGCUAGCGGCAGGCUUAAUACAUGCAAGUUGAGGGGCAGCAUGAUAUACGCGAGUAUAUUGAUGGCGACCGGCGGACGGGUGAGUAAUAGGUAGGAGACCUACCUCAUACAGGGGGAUAGCAUAGAGAAAUCUGUGGUAAUACCCCAUGAGGUUAUAUGAAUAGAGGCAUAUAAUCAAAAGCAUAAGUGAUUAUGCGGUAUGAGAGGGGCCUACUGACCAUUAGCUAGUUGGUGAGGUAAGGGCUCACCAAGGCGAAAGAUGGUUAGGGGUUUUGAGAGAGAGACCCCCCACAUUGGAACUGAGAUACGGUCCAGACUCCUACGGGAGGCAGCAGUAGGGAAUAUUGGGCAAAUGGGCGGAAAGCCUGACCCAGCCAUGCCGCGUGAAGGAAGACGGCCUUAUGGGUUGUAAACUUCUUUACUAUGCGACUAACUAGAUUUACGAGAUAAUUCUAUAGAAUGUAGCAUAGCAAAAAGCAACC
This 488-nucleotide ribosomal RNA is filed under the name uncultured bacterium. Its description in RNAcentral is "bacterial SSU rRNA". It matches the Rfam family "Bacterial small subunit ribosomal RNA", at positions 28 to 495 of the family's 1533-position model. The record is from RNAcentral.